RNAcentral lists this ribosomal RNA (468 nucleotides) under uncultured bacterium. Its description in RNAcentral is "partial 16S ribosomal RNA". It matches the Rfam family "Bacterial small subunit ribosomal RNA", at positions 28 to 507 of the family's 1533-position model. The record is from RNAcentral.
GACGAACGCUGGCGGCGUGCUUAACACAUGCAAGUCGAACGGAAAGGCCCGGCGUUUGUUGGUUGGUCGUUUGCCGCGGAGGGGAGAGAAACGUGUGUAUACUGCACUUAUCUUUCUGGUAUCACCACGGGACUGGGGCGAAUACCGGAGAGAAUAUCCUGCAGCGUGGGGUGGGUUGGUAAAUGUCGGCGUUGGUGGAUGGUAUCGCGGCUUAUGAGCUUGUUGGUGGGGUAGGGGCGUACAAAGCUUUCGAAGGGUAGCCGGCCUUGGAGCGGGACCGGCCACAUUGGGCCUGCGAUACGGCCCAGACUCCUACGGGAGGCAGCAGUGGGGAAUAUUGCACAAUGGGCGGACGUCUGAUGCAGCAACGCCGCGUGCGGGAUGACGGCCUUCGGGUUGUAAACCGCUUUCGCCUGUGACGAAGCGUGAGUGACGGUAAUGGGUAAAGAAGCACCGGCUAACUACGUG